This 72-nucleotide transfer RNA is filed under the name Canis lupus familiaris (dog). RNAcentral describes it as "tRNA-Cys (GCA) (tRNA-Cys-GCA-7-1)". It matches the Rfam family "tRNA". Rfam says of the family: Transfer RNA (tRNA) molecules are approximately 80 nucleotides in length. RNAcentral also lists the same sequence under 2 other names. Lineage: Eukaryota; Metazoa; Chordata; Mammalia; Carnivora; Canidae. The record is from Rfam by way of RNAcentral.
GGGGGUAUAGCUCAGGGGUAGAGCAUUUGACUGCAGAUCAAGAAGUCCCUGGUUCAAAUCCAGGUGCCCCCU